AGUGAACGCUGGCGGUAGGCCUAACACAUGCAAGUCGAACGGCAGCACAGUAAGAGCUUGCUCUUACGGGUGGCGAGUGGCGGACGGGUGAGGAAUACAUCGGAAUCUACUUUUUCGUGGGGGAUAACGUAGGGAAACUUACGCUAAUACCGCAUACGACCUACGGGUGAAGGCAGGGGAUCUUCGGACCUUGCGCGAUUGAAUGAGCCGAUGUCGGAUUAGCUAGUUGGCGGGGUAAAGGCCCACCAAGGCGACGAUCCGUAGCUGGUCUGAGAGGAUGAUCAGCCACACUGGAACUGAGACACGGUCCAGACUCCUACGGGAGGCAGCAGUGGGGAAUAUUGGACAAUGGGCGCAAGCCUGAUCCAGCCAUACCGCGUGGGUGAAGAAGGCCUUCGGGUUGUAAAGCCCUUUUGUUGGGAAAGAAGAGCAGCAGGUUAAUACCCCGCUGUUCUGACGGUACCCAAAGAAUAAGCACCGGCUAACUUCGUG
RNAcentral lists this ribosomal RNA (492 nucleotides) under uncultured bacterium. Its description in RNAcentral is "partial 16S ribosomal RNA". It matches the Rfam family "Bacterial small subunit ribosomal RNA", at positions 29 to 507 of the family's 1533-position model. The record is from RNAcentral.